RNAcentral lists this ribosomal RNA (253 nucleotides) under uncultured bacterium. RNAcentral's name for it is "partial 16S ribosomal RNA". It matches the Rfam family "Bacterial small subunit ribosomal RNA", at positions 524 to 776 of the family's 1533-position model. The record is from RNAcentral.
UACGGGAGGGGCAAGCGUUGUUCGGAAUUACUGGGCGUAAAGGGCUCGUAGGUGGCCAACUAAGUCAGACGUGAAAUCCCUCAGCUUAACUGGGGAACUGCGUCUGAUACUGGACGGCUUGAGUAUGGGAGAGGGAUGUAGAAUUCCAGGUGUAGCGGUGAAAUGCGUAGAUAUCUGGAGGAAUACCGGUGGCGAAGGCGGCAUCCUGGACCAUUACUGACGCUGAGGCGCGAAAGCUAGGGGAGCAAACGGG